UGAACGCUAGCUACAGGCUUAACACAUGCAAGUCGAGGGGAAACGACAUCGAAAGCUUGCUUUUGAUGGGCGUCGACCGGCGCACGGGUGAGUAACGCGUAUCCAACCUGCCCACCACUUGGGGAUAACCUUGCGAAAGUAAGACUAAUACCCAAUGACGUCUCUAGAAGACAUCUGAAAGGGAUUAAAGAUUUAUCGGUGAUGGAUGGGGAUGCGUCUGAUUAGCUUGGUGGGCGGGGGUAACGGCCCACCAAGGCGACGAUCAGUAGGGGUUCUGAGAGGAAGGUCCCCCACAUUGGAACUGAGACACGGUCCAAACUCCUACGGGAGGCAGCAGUGAGGAAUAUUGGUCAAUGGGCGAGAGCCUGAACCAGCCAAGUAGCGUGCAGGAUGACGGCCCUAUGGGUUGUAAACUGCUUUUAUAAGGGAAUAAAGUGAGUCUCGUGAGACUUUUUGCAUGUACCUUAUGAAUAAGGACCGGCUAAUUCCGUGCCAGCAGCCGCGGUAAUACGGAAGGUCCGGGCGUUAUCCGGAUUUAUUGGGUUUAAAGGGAGCGUAGGCCGGAGAUUAAGCGUGUUGUGAAAUGUAGACGCUCAACGUCUGCACUGCAGCGCGAACUGGUUUCCUUGAGUACGCACAAAGUGGGCGGAAUUCGUGGUGUAGCGGUGAAAUGCUUAGAUAUCACGAAGAACUCCGAUUGCGAAGGCAGCUCACUGGAGCGCAACUGACGCUGAAGCUCGAAAGUGCGGGUAUCGAACAGGAUUAGAUACCCUGGUAGUCCGCACGGUAAACGAUGGAUGCCCGCUGUUGGUCUGAAUAGGUCAGCGGCCAAGCGAAGGCAUUAAGCAUCCCACCUGGGGAGUACGCCGGCAACGGUGAAACUCAAAGGAAUUGACGGAAGG
This 902-nucleotide ribosomal RNA is filed under the name uncultured bacterium. RNAcentral describes it as "bacterial SSU rRNA". It matches the Rfam family "Bacterial small subunit ribosomal RNA", at positions 30 to 920 of the family's 1533-position model. The record is from RNAcentral.